UACGUAGGGAGCAAGCGUUGUUCGGAUUUACUGGGCGUAAAGGGCGCGUAGGCGGUCUUGUAAGUCAGCUGUGAAAGCCCGGGGCUCAACCCCGGAGGGUCGGCUGAUACUGCAGGACUGGAGUACGGAAGAGGUAGCUGGAAUUCCCGGUGUAGCGGUGAAAUGCGCAGAUAUCAGGAGGAACACCGAUGGCGAAGGCAGGUCUCUGGGCCACUACUGACGCUGAGAAGCGAAAGCGUGGGGAGCGAACAGG
Molecule: ribosomal RNA, 253 nt
Filed under: uncultured bacterium
Lineage: Bacteria
Description: partial 16S ribosomal RNA
Rfam family: Bacterial small subunit ribosomal RNA
Source: RNAcentral